Molecule: ribosomal RNA, 253 nt
Filed under: uncultured bacterium
Lineage: Bacteria
Description: partial 16S ribosomal RNA
Rfam family: Bacterial small subunit ribosomal RNA
Source: RNAcentral
UACGAAGGGGGCGAGCGUUGUUCGGAAUUACUGGGCGUAAAGGGCGCGCAGGCGGCCCUUGAAGUCAGGCGUGAAAGCCCCGGGCUCAACCUGGGAGGUGCGCUUGAUACUCGAGGGCUUGAGUGCGGGAGAGGAGAGUGGAAUUCCCAGUGUAGAGGUGAAAUUCGUAGAUAUUGGGAAGAACACCGGUGGCGAAGGCGGCGAGCUGGUCCAUUACUGACGCUGAGGCGCGACAGCGUGGGGAGCAAACAGG